GUGGAAGCACCCCGCCUCCCUUCUUCUGUAAGCGAUGCGAAGCACCAGCUCCUUGCUCUUCCUGUCUUCCCUCCGAUUUGCUGCAUGCGUACCUGAUUUCAAACUCUAAGCAUCAAAUCCAUUGGAGCCACCGAGCUAUUGCCAAAUUGAAUCCCCUGCAAAUCCACAACCAAUCAACCAUCGUCUACUUUUUUCCCUCUCGAGCACACACGCCAAAGCAGCAGCAGCACGCCAACCCCAUUCCCAAAAUCUUUGCUCUCUGGCCCUUCUUCAGCAGAGCAAGCAGAUCAG
Molecule: long non-coding RNA, 291 nt
Filed under: Setaria italica (foxtail millet)
Lineage: Eukaryota; Viridiplantae; Streptophyta; Magnoliopsida; Poales; Poaceae
Description: long non-coding RNA (SITA_LNC001952)
Source: RNAcentral